UCCCAGGUGGCUCAGUGGUAAAGAAUCUGCCUGCCAAGCAGGAGACAUGGGUUCAAUCCCUGGGCUGGGAA
Molecule: transfer RNA, 71 nt
Filed under: Odocoileus virginianus texanus
Lineage: Eukaryota; Metazoa; Chordata; Mammalia; Artiodactyla; Cervidae
Also listed under: 1 other name
Rfam family: tRNA
About the family: Transfer RNA (tRNA) molecules are approximately 80 nucleotides in length.
Source: Rfam by way of RNAcentral